AAAACACAACCAAAGCUUUCUAUUAGAGAGAUAAAAAGAUAGAGAGAUAGAGAGAAAAAUCUUGUGAGAGAAAACUUCAGUGUGGAAGUUAUACACGAGUGAUAAAAGUGAGUCGAGAGAUAGCCUCUGUGUAGGCAAGAUACAAAAUACAGUGUGGUAUUGUUGUACUCCUCCUUUGUGAGAUUCUCUAAUAUAUUGGGGUGGGUCCGUGGACGUAGGCAGUUUGGCCGAACCACGUUAAAUAUCGGUGUCAUUAUUUUUUCCGUCUUAGAUAAUUUAUAUCUUUGAUAUUGCUUUCGAUUUGAUAAUGGGCGGAAUUAUUUGUGUAUAUUUCCCAACAACUGGUAUCAGAGCCACGUUUGUGGCGGUCUGAUAAUUUUCUUGUGCUGUUACUAUUCAUCGUGAAUAGUGAUUUCGUUGUGAACAGUGAUUGUUCUUUUGUAAUUCUUAGUAUGCUCUGUGGUUGCAGUAAUUACUGAACCUCCACAUCAGAAAAGAAUUACUUUGAGAAAAUUAUCUUGUUUAUCAAUUGGGAGCAGUUACGAUGGGCGACGGAAAGAUUACGAUUGAGAAGUUCGAUGGUACGGAUUUCGGUUUCUGGAAGAUGCAGAUCGAGGAUUAUCUUUAUGGAAAAGAUCUACAUCAGCCCCUCAAAGAAAAACCAGAUAAGAUGGAUCCGGACGAGUGGGAGCUGCUGGACAGAAAGGCGAUGAGUGCAAUACGUUUAUCGCUGUCCAGGAACGUUGCCUACCACACGACUGGAGCAAAGUCAACAAAGGAGAUGUUGGCGAUUCUGGCGGAGAUGUACCAGAAACCAUCAACUGCAAACAAAGUACAUUUGAUGAGACGAUUGUUCAAUCUAAAAAUGUCCGAGAGCACACCAGUGCAGAAUCAUUUGAACGAGUUCAAUAUGAUCACCACACAGCUGAGCUCGGUGGAGAUCGAGUUUGAUGAUGAAGUUCGUGCCCUAAUAUUGCUAUCUUCUUUGCCAGAAAGUUGGGCCGGAACAGUGACAGCAGUUAGCGCUUCAUCGGCAAAGGCAAAGUUGCGCUUUGACGAAGUAAGAGAUCUGAUGAUCAGCGAGGAGAUUCGCAGGAAAGAAUCUCCAUCUACUUCAGGGUCAGGGACUGCACUGAACACGGAAUAUCGAGGAAGAUCGAAAGGAAGGCAGAACAGGGGAAGGUCAAAGUCCAGAGGAAAGAGCCAAUCCAGGACGGAUAAGGGUUCAAUCCAGUGCUGGAACUGUGAAGAGUUCGGGCACUUUAAGAAUCAGUGUAAAGCGCCACCGAAGAAAAAGGAUCACAAAAAGACAGCGAACGCAGCCACAACAGAAGAUGUAGGCGAGGCGUUGGUCCUGAGCGUGACCAGUCCGAUGGAGUCGUGGGUGCUGGAUUCUGGAGCGUCUUUCCAUUCAUGCAGUAAUGAAGAUAUAAUUGAAAAUUAUGUCUCUGGCGAUUUUGGACAGGUGUAUCUUGCUGAUGAUGAGCCCCUGAAAAUCGUGGGAAAGGGAGACGUGCGAGUUGUGACAUCCAACGGAUCCGAGUUGAAGCUGAAUCAAGUCAGACAUAUUCCUGGACUGAAAAGGAACUUACUUUCAAUUGGGCAGCUUGAUGCAGAGGGCUACACAGUGACAUUUGGCUGCAGUAAUUGGAAGAUAAUCAAGGGAGCUAUGAUUAUAGCUCGUGGAAAGAAGGAGGGCACGUUGUAUAUGACAACUAACUCCAAAGAUUGCAUUGAUCUUGCAGGAGGAGUGAACAAUGCAGAUUUGUGGCAUUGUCGGCUUGGCCACAUGAGCGAAAAGGGGAUGAAGAUAAUGUGUUCGAAGGGUAGGCUGCCUGGCCUGGAAACUGUUGAAGUUGGCCUGUGCGAGGAUUGCGUGUUCGGAAAGCAGAAAAGGGUAAGCUUCUCGAGAGGCGGCAGAACCUUGAAGACGCAGAAGUUGGAGCUGGUCCAUAGUGAUCUAUGGGGACCGGCGCCUGUAAAAUCCCUUGGUGGCUCGGAAUACUACAUAACCUUCAUUGAUGAUUCCACUCGAAAGGUAUGGGUUUAUUUUCUUAAAAAUAAAUCCGAUGCAUUUGAUACUUUCAGGAAGUGGAAAGCCCUUGUAGAAACUGAAACAGGGCUGAAAGUAAAGUGUCUACGAUCCGACAAUGGAGGAGAAUAUGAACUUAAGGAGUUCAAAGACUACUGUGCUAAGAAUGGGAUUCGCAUGGAGAAAACCGUGAGAGGAACUCCCCAGCAGAAUGGUGUAGCAGAACGGAUGAACAGAACACUAAAUGAGCGAGCAAGAUGCAUGAGGCUGAAAAGUGGGUUGCCUAAGAUGUUUUGGGCAGAUGCAGUUAACACAGCUGCAUACCUAAUCAAUAGAGGUCCAUCAGUUCCAUUGGAGUUUCGGAUACCUGAGGAAGAAUGGACAGGAAAAGAGGUAAACCUAUCUUUCUACGCAUCUUUGGAUGUGUUGCUUAUGCUCAUAUUGAUCAUGUUAAUAGAAGCAAGUUAGAUGCUAAAUCUCUUAAGUGUACGUUCAUUGGUUAUGAUGGAGACGAGUUCGGUUAUAGGCUCUGGGAUGAGCAGAACCGAAAGGUUAUUCGAAGUAGAGAUGUGGUUUUCAAUGAACAGGUGUUGUACAAGGAAAGAGUGAAAGCAUCUAGCCCUGGCAAUUCUGAUUCCCAAGUAGUCGAGUUAGACAUCUCAAACUCGAGUGGGAGCAAGGAGAGCCAGAAUUUUGAAGAGGUUCCAGAUGAGGAGCCAAGAACCCCACCACCAAACAAUUCGCUGCCAAGACCGGUUAGAGAGCGACGUGCACCUGAUAGGUACUCGCCCUCUAACUUUUAUUUACUACUUACUGAUGGUGGUGAGCCCGAAUGCUAUACAGAGGCAGAUACUGGUAGUAAUAAGCGGAUAUGGAGAGGUGCUAUGGAUGAUGAGAUUGCAUCUCUUAUCCUAAACGGCACCUGGGAACUUGUAGAGCUCCCGAAGGGGAAGAAGGCAUUGCAUUGCAAGUGGAUCUAUCGAAUCAAGAUUGAAGCUGAUGGUAGCAAACGCUACAAGGCAAGGCUGGUUGUCAAAGGGUUUCAGCAACGAUACGGUAUUGAUUAUACCGAUAUUUUUACUCCUGUUGUGAAACUGACCACUAUUCGUUUAGUGUUGAGCAUGGUAGUUGCAGAAAACUUAUGUUACAUCAGAUGGAUGUAAAGACAGCGUUCCUUCAUGGUGAUUUGGAGGAAAACUUGUACAUGACACAGCCCGAGGGAUUCGUGGUGAAAGGAAAAGAAAAAUACUUGUGUGCAAAUUGAAAAAGAAGCUUGUAUGGCCUGAAGCAAGCUCCGAAGCAGUGGUAUAAGAAGUUUGACAGUUUUAUGUUGGAGAUUGGCUACGCGAGAUGCCACGCUGAUCAUUGUUGCUACUACAAGAGGUUCGACAAAAGUUAUCUUAUCCUUUUGCUAUACGUUGACGAUAUGUUGAUCGCAGGAGCUGAUGCAAAGGAAAUGGAUAAGUUGAAGAAGCAAUUGUCUGAACGAUUCUCCAUGAAAGAUCUUGGAGAGGCCAAUCAGAUUCUUGGCAUGAGGAUCAAAAGAGACAAGGCGGCAGGAAAGUUGUAUCUUUCACAAGCCAACUACAUUGAGAAGGUAUUGGAAAGAUUUAACAUGCAUAAUUCGAAGCCGGUGAACAUCCCGUUGGGUUGUCACUUCAAGCUGUCGAAGAAGGAGUCGCCAUGUACAAAGGAGGAACGUGCCGAGAUGAUAAAAGUUCCUUAUGCAUCGGCAAUAGGCAGCAUUAUGUACGCCAUGGUGUGUACAAGGCCAGAUAUUGCGCAUGCAGUGGGAGUAGUAAGCCGAUUCAUGGGUGAUCCGGGCAAGCAACAUUGGGAAGCAGUCAAGUGGAUUCUUCGUUACUUAAGAGGUACCACGGACAAGGCUUUAUGUUUUGAUGGCAAGAGUGCCAAGUUGGUUGGCUAUGUUGAUGCAGAUUUGGCAUCAAAUGACCUGGAAGGUCGGAAGAGUACAACCGGGUAUGUAUUUACUUUUGGUGGUACUGCUAUUUCUUGGUCUUCUAAGUUGCAGAAGAUUGUCACGUUGUCUACUACGGAAGCUGAGUAUGUAGCCGUGACGGAAGCAAGCAAGGAGAUGGUAUGGUUGCAGAAUUUCUUGGGAGAACUUGGGAAGAAGCAUGAGAAUAGUACACUCUUUAGUGACAGUCUGUCAUAUCCCAGUUUUUAAUCAUUGAUUAAAGACUUAAUAAUUAGGGUUCGGCAUCCAUUAAUAAUAAAAAUGAUUUGAUUUAUCAGAUGUCAUUUAAUUGUUUUAUAUGUGUCUUGAUGUGCUUAAUUCUUAUUAUUCUUGUACUCCGUUUGUAUGUUUAAAGGUAUUAUUGUAGAUUGAAUUGUUCAUUAUUUGGUUUUCUAACUGACUUAGUCAGAGAUGUUGUUUCGUUUAUCUAGGUUUGAAAUAGAUUUCUAUUAUUCUUGAAGUGGUAAUUGUUUUUCGACUUAUGUAGGUAGUUAUCAACUAUGUCCUUUAUGUGCGUUCUACGACGCUUUGUUAUCUAGCACCUCUUUAUUUUUGCCUAUACAGAGGCUUUUCUCAUCAUUUGAUCUAGCACCUAACAUUUCCACAUCCUUCUUACUCUUGAAUAGAUUGAUGGUGUUGGAGAGAUAUAUAGCCAAUCUUGUGAGUGAACACUUCAUGUGGCAGUUAUCCGAGUAAACAGUGAUUUUCGAGUUAGCCUCUUCUUCGGCAGAUUCAUCAUUCAGUGUGGAUUGUUUACUCCUUCUUUUUGAGAUUCUCUAAUAUAUUGGGGUGGGUCCGUGGACGUAGGCAGUUUGGCCGA
Molecule: long non-coding RNA, 4830 nt
Filed under: Salvia miltiorrhiza (redroot sage)
Lineage: Eukaryota; Viridiplantae; Streptophyta; Magnoliopsida; Lamiales; Lamiaceae
Description: long non-coding RNA (SMIL_LNC002005)
Source: RNAcentral